UACGAAGGGGGCUAGCGUUGCUCGGAAUCACUGGGCGUAAAGCGCACGUAGGCGGACUCUUAAGUCGGGGGUGAAAUCCUGGAGCUCAACUCCAGAACUGCCUUCGAUACUGAGAGUCUUGAGUUCGGGAGAGGUGAGUGGAACUGCGAGUGUAGAGGUGAAAUUCGUAGAUAUUCGCAAGAACACCAGUGGCGAAGGCGGCUCACUGGCCCGAUACUGACGCUGAUGUGCGAAAGCGUGGGGAGCAAACAGGG
This 254-nucleotide ribosomal RNA is filed under the name uncultured bacterium. Its description in RNAcentral is "partial 16S ribosomal RNA". It matches the Rfam family "Bacterial small subunit ribosomal RNA", at positions 524 to 777 of the family's 1533-position model. The record is from RNAcentral.